AGAGAAGAGAGAGAGAGAGAGAGAGAAAAUGAGAGAGAUGACAAGGGUGGAAGAACGGUGAAGAACGAUGUUCCAAGACGAGCUUUCUCCACCGGUCUCAAGGCGCUUUUUCAUUAAAAUCCACCUCGUUCUAAUUAACAAUUCUCGAACAAUCCUCCAAUUCCAGUCGAACCUUUCAUCCCCUCGAAGAGACCGUCCCCUUGAAUACCUUUCGAGGUAUCCGCCCCCAACGAGAUAUCACAAUUGAAAGGAAGACAUUUUAUUAUCGACGCCUUGCAACCUCUACGAAGAAGGCUCGUUUCUCUUCGCGACGAAGAGACUCUUCUCGCGCUUGAACGAGAGAAAGACUCGUGGACUCGUCGAAUCGUUUCAACAAAUUACAAUUUUUUUCUUACAGCCUUUCGAUUUCGGUUGAAAUUAAGAUUUCUUUUUCUUUUAUUCCCCCCCCCCUUCCCCCCUUCCCCCCCUCCAACGAGUCUUUCGAGAAGAAAAGACGCGAUGCGCGAAAGAAAGUUGGUCGUGGCUCGUCGAAGAAAUCGGUUGUUUGGUCGCGAACUAACUUGAAGGAGGCGUGCAGCUCCUGACGAAGGGUCAACGGCCUGUUCUCCUGCGUGGGCGUGUUCUGGGGCGUGCCAGGCCCACUUCCGGAACCCCUCUUCUUCAGAACGCUCUUCAAAGGGACCGCGUGAAACUUAGGCUCCUUCGCGGGGAUCUCCUCCACCCUGGACGUGUCGAUGCUCGGAUCAGGCUGCGACAUCCUCGGCACGUACAUGUUGUCCUCCUCCUCCACGUCGAAGUCCUC
Molecule: long non-coding RNA, 802 nt
Organism: Apis florea (little honeybee)
Lineage: Eukaryota; Metazoa; Arthropoda; Insecta; Hymenoptera; Apidae
Source: RefSeq, a predicted model, not a curated record